This 398-nucleotide long non-coding RNA is filed under the name Panax ginseng (ginseng). RNAcentral's name for it is "long non-coding RNA (PGIN_LNC019174)". Lineage: Eukaryota; Viridiplantae; Streptophyta; Magnoliopsida; Apiales; Araliaceae. The record is from RNAcentral.
GGGUUUGAACAUACUUCUUCAUUACCAGACUUAGUUCUUUCUUUAAUAGAACUAACUUCUUCUUCCUCAUUGCUGGAUUUGCUUCUUGAGGACUCAAUCUUGAAACUUUCAGUUCCCUUCUCAUUUUCUGACUUUAUGCUCUCAUCCUUGGAAGAUAAACUUUCUUGGGGAACUGGGGUUGGCUUAUUUAUCACCUUUGCUUUCUUUCUGGGUGGCCCUUGAAGUAACGUGUUACUUCUUUUCUUUGUGAUUUCUGCAGUUGAGACUUUUUCUUCUCCUGCUUCAAGAUUGUCAGUUGAGAUUCUUGGUGGACCCUCUGUUUUCUUCAUACCCUUUGACUUCUUCCUUGCUGGUGUGGCUGCUACUGGUACAGAGUCAUCAGAUUGAGAACUUUCCAC